CAUCCGUAACAAUAAUUGGGAUGGACCUGGCUCUGAUACCAUGAUAAGAAUGGACCUUGGGCCUAACUCAACCCCAAAAGGGAGCUAACGAAGUUCAAAAAGUUGUCAAGAGAACCUAAGGGGGAAAUCAUCAUAUCCAUUUGGCUCUAUUGAGCCCUUUUCACUCAAAUAUGCAUUAUUUUAAGUUGAAUUAGUUUUUCUAUAAAACCAGAGGAUCUCUAAACCUUAAGGAUGGCAAUUGGGGCGGGGCAGGGCAGGGAGGUUGCUCGUCAAACCUCCAAAUGCUAGGUUCGAACAUAUUGUUGUCGCUGUUUUCACAUGGAAUUGAAGUCAACACACAUUAAUUAAUUACACAGUCACAUCCAUGGAUCUCUCGAUGAAUAGAUAUUAAAUAUAGUAUAAGUACGACUAGUUGCAACUUGUAUAUCACUCAUGGAUUAAUUAAAAGGUUAAUUACAGCCCAAGUUCAAUCUCUAUCAUCUUCCUUCCCUAUUUUAAUUUGCCGUGAAUUUUGUGUGAGAAAUCAGUAACUUCCUCCGUUUAUUAAAAAAACUACAGUACUUAUUUUUAAUAACGUAAUAUAGUAUCAUAUAAAAUGACAUAUAUAAAGAGUAUUUUCUCCGCAUUAUCUAGCAAAAUACGGUAAAAAUGCGACAUUUACACUGAAGUGUUCCUUAGUAAUGUGGUGAUAUAAUAACAACAACAACCCAGUAUAAUCCCACUUAGUGGGGUCUGGGGAGGGUAGUGUGU
This 750-nucleotide long non-coding RNA is filed under the name Nicotiana benthamiana. Its description in RNAcentral is "long non-coding RNA (NBEN_LNC041114)". The record is from RNAcentral. Lineage: Eukaryota; Viridiplantae; Streptophyta; Magnoliopsida; Solanales; Solanaceae.